Non-coding RNA from Misgurnus anguillicaudatus (oriental weatherfish), 274 nucleotides. RefSeq annotates it as small Cajal body-specific RNA 6. The record is from RefSeq and is a predicted model, not a curated record. NCBI's taxonomy places the organism in Eukaryota, Metazoa, Chordata, Actinopteri, Cypriniformes, Cobitidae.
GGUCAAUGAUGAGAUGUAAAAGGUCUGACGUUCGGGUCUCUCUUCAGUCCGUCUGUCCCUCCCAGCAGUCCCUGAUAAUUUCCCAGCAUGCUCUAGUUGUGCAUUACUGGUUUAAGGGGUCAGCUGAUAUUUUUGGAUGUUUUUGCUGAAUAAAGAGUCUUUUAGAGAAUGAAGAUCUCAACAGCAGCGUCCGACAUCAUCACAGCACACAGGAGGGCAAGACUGAUGAAGAAACAUAAACCGACACAUGAUCUCAAGUUUUCAAGCUGAGACC